Molecule: transfer RNA, 64 nt
Filed under: Grimothea gregaria
Lineage: Eukaryota; Metazoa; Arthropoda; Malacostraca; Decapoda; Munididae
Description: Munida gregaria tRNA-Phe
Source: RNAcentral
ACUUUUAUAAUUUAUAAAGAAUAUUACACUGAAGAUGUAAAAGUGAUUAAUUAAUCUGAAAGUA